CUUCAUAUUUGAUUCCCUUUUAGUCGAUCAGAGAUCGCUGUUUGUUUUUUUGGAUUUUUUGUAAGGUUUGUUUUCUCUUCUCGUUUCUCCGUAAAUAUUCAUCAAAGGUACCAGGAUUAUAAUUAAGUACGCCAGACGCGCGUUUCGUCUACAUAAUCCUCUUCUUUAUUCUCAAUUUAAUAAAAAAAAAAAUCCAUGUCAUUUGGACUUUGGUAGAAAGUUGUAUCAUUUCCAAUCAAAUAAAUUGCAAGCAUUAAAUCCAAUAGUGAUCACUAGUAUAAUUUUUAAUUUUUUUUUUU
Molecule: long non-coding RNA, 299 nt
Filed under: Mytilus galloprovincialis (Mediterranean mussel)
Lineage: Eukaryota; Metazoa; Mollusca; Bivalvia; Mytilida; Mytilidae
Source: RNAcentral